Long non-coding RNA from Mustela lutreola (European mink), 571 nucleotides. RefSeq lists it as uncharacterized. The transcript has 3 exons. NCBI's taxonomy places the organism in Eukaryota, Metazoa, Chordata, Mammalia, Carnivora, Mustelidae. The record is from RefSeq and is a predicted model, not a curated record.
GGUGAUACUGCAUUUCCCAUCCCAUCUGGGAUCAGUGUUUGUAAUAGAUUGGCUUUUAUGCCCAGCUCCCGAAGAGCAUUCUCAUUAUCUGAUAAGAGAAGCCGAUUUUCACUAGCCUUCCGAGGUCUGAUGAUGAGAGUACCCAUGUCAGAGGAUUGCUGUGAGGACCAAAUGUGAAUUAUGUGAGAAGCCUUUGGGUAGAUGCAAACCAAGAGUCAACUAAGAACAUAAGGAGCGGAAAUGUAUGGAAUUAGAAUGACUGCAUUACCUAGAAAGCAACCUAGCUGACUUUCUGAAUGAAUUGGUCGUCAACUAAUUUACUCUUAACCAGUACCCUUAUAGCUAACUGUAUUGCUUACAAGUCUCAAUUAGACCACAUGAAAUCUACCAAGUUGAAUUUCAUUUCUCUGUCUCAAUUUUUCACUUGCCAAUUGAAGAGAAACUUGACAGGGAUAUAAAGUACUUUGAAAUGUAAAUACAGCUAUAUAUAUUUUAAUUUUUUAUAUGUAUAAUAAACUAUAAAAUGCUACACAAAUAUCUUAAUAAAACUGUGUAUUUUCCUCUGAAAGAA